Molecule: ribosomal RNA, 524 nt
Filed under: uncultured bacterium
Lineage: Bacteria
Description: bacterial SSU rRNA
Rfam family: Bacterial small subunit ribosomal RNA
Source: RNAcentral
UGGGGAAUAUUGCACAAUGGGCGAAAGCCCGAUGCAGCAACGCCGCGUGAGCGAGGAAGGCCUUUGGGUCGUAAAGCUCUGUUGAGAGGGAAGAAAAAAAUGACGGUACCUCUUGAGGAAGCCCCGGCUAACUACGUGCCAGCAGCCGCGGUAAUACGUAGGGGGCGAGCGUUAUCCGGAAUUAUUGGGCGUAAAGAGUGCGUAGGUGGUUAUCUAAGCGUGGGGUGGAAGGCAGUGGCUUAACCAUUGUAAGCCUUGCGAACUGGAUAGCUUGAGUGCAGGAGGGGAAAGUGGAAUUCCUAGUGUAGCGGUGAAAUGCGUAGAUAUUAGGAGGAACACCGGUGGCGAAGGCGGCUUUCUGGACUGUAACUGACACUGAGGCACGAAAGCGUGGGUAGCAAACAGGAUUAGAUACCCUGGUAGUCCACGCCGUAAACGAUGAGCACUAGGUGUUGGGGGGAGAACCCUCAGUGCCGCAGUUAACGCAAUAAGUGCUCCGCCUGGGGAGUACGCACGCAAGUGUA